Molecule: long non-coding RNA, 552 nt
Organism: Oncorhynchus tshawytscha (Chinook salmon)
Lineage: Eukaryota; Metazoa; Chordata; Actinopteri; Salmoniformes; Salmonidae
Source: Ensembl
CCUUAGCCGUGCACUCUAGCUAGCUAGGAAGUUUGAUGUCAUCAAAUUUCACAUGAUGUAUAGCGACGUCCAAACAUCAAAACAUUGCUAGCAAAUUGUAAAAAAAAAAUGGAUAGUAACAAUAUAAUUCCAUUAAAUAACGACAGUAGACGCUGUAUUUUCUUUAAUACAGAUUCUGACGACUAUCGAUGUUUUGGAUGAAAGCCAAAGUACAUAGUCCUACAAAGGCCCUAGGUUAUAAAACCAUGCAUGCUGUUGAAAAAAGGUCUCCCACAGAGUGACAGGUGGUGAUUCUCACAGUGAAGCGAGCCACAGGCACCUUCUCACUGAUAGGAUGCUUUUUCAUGCUGUUUGUAAUCUGGCUUCUCCGCCGGUAUCACUCCUUGGCCCAGAAGAUGAUUUGCAGUCUGACAGUUGCGGCCUUCUUUGACAGUGUAGCGUAUGUCAUCGGUGAUACCCAUCCAGAGGGGAGUCUGUGUAACUUCCAGGCCUGGUGGCUCACUUAUUUUGACUGGAGUGCCUUGGCCUGGGUGUCCUGAAUUAUUCUGAACC